AUUGAACGCUGGCGGCAUGCCUUACACAUGCAAGUCGAACGGUAACGGGCCUUCGGGUGCCGACGAGUGGCGAACGGGUGAGUAAUACAUCGGAACGUGCCCGAUCGUGGGGGAUAACGAGGCGAAAGCUUUGCUAAUACCGCAUACGAUCUACGGAUGAACGCAGGGGACCGCAAGGCCUUGCGCGGACGGAGCGGCCGAUGGCAGAUUAGGUAGUUGGUGGGAUAAAAGCUUACCAAGCCGACGAUCUGUACCUGGUCUGAGAGGAUGAUCAGCCACACUGGGACUGAGACACGGCCCAGACUCCUACGGGAGGCAGCAGUGGGGAAUUUUGGACAAUGGGCGCAAGCCUGAUCCAGCCAUGCCGCGUGCAGGAUGAAGGCCUUCGGGUUGUAAACUGCGUUUGUACGGAACGAAAAGCCUUCUUUUAAUACGGGAGGGUCAUGACGGUACCGUAAGAAUAAGCACCGGCUAACUACGUG
RNAcentral lists this ribosomal RNA (482 nucleotides) under uncultured bacterium. RNAcentral describes it as "partial 16S ribosomal RNA". It matches the Rfam family "Bacterial small subunit ribosomal RNA", at positions 30 to 507 of the family's 1533-position model. The record is from RNAcentral.